UACCUGUACUCUACUCUAACCCUCCGUUAUUUAUCUUUGGUUACCAGAAGGUAUAUCGAUAAAAGAAAUUUCAGCAGUAAAAUGCCAAGUUUUGUUGAUAGGGACCAACAAUAUAUACAAUGAGUGUGAUAGGUCAAUUCGAAUAGGAACUUAACUGCAAGAGAAAUGAUGUAACAGCGACAAUUUACCUGAAAUUAUAGAAACAUCAAAAGGCAGAUCAAUUUUCUAGUCACCACAUUCUUUUAGCUGGACAAGAAGCAGCCACCUGAAGUCGUUUUAUUUCUAAGCAUAUGAAAGUAUGAAUUCAAGAAGAAACAUCAGAGAAUUCACUGUUUCAAUCAAAUUGGACUUAGGCAGAAAGCAAAAGAAUUAAAAUGGCACUUCAAAGAUAGAUUCUGAUGAGUAUUUGCAACCUGCAUGAGAAUGAGGACGAAGCCAAGAGAUUACUGCCACUGAGAUUGUAAUCCGAGAGGACUCCACAAAGCCUCUACUAAUGCCUGUCGGAUACUAAAAAGGGGUUCCUUCUCAAUCAAAGUAGGGUUUCUGCAUAAGAAUGAUGACACAACUUUCAUCCAAAGAUCCGUCUGUACGUUCAGUGUUAGAAACACAGGGUGCCCCAGAUCAUUUGGGGAGCAGGAUUCGACGAUCCCUACCACCCGAUGAUCAAUCCACCAAGCCAAUCAACACCAUGGAGAACAAAUCAAAUCCCUAGGCAGGUCUGCAAGACAACAACCUGCAGCUGUCCAAGAACCAAUCGGGUAGACCCGAUAGCAAUUUUCCCCUAACCGAAGCCGCGCAGAUGAUAGUCGGGAGGCAGAGGCAUACUCUGAAACCCUAACGCGCACAGCCACGGAAUGAGCUUGAAAUCCCCAUCGUCGUCGUCGAGAUUUAGUCCGCCAUCAUCCGUGCACCGAUCGCGAAAGAAAGGACAGUAUCGGUGGUCUAACGCCUGCACGAAGCCGGCAAGGCCGGGGAUGUGCAAGGGAGGAGACUCCUCGACGGGUCGGAGGGGAGAGUGAGGGUUUUAGUAGGAGGAGGAGGUAAGUGGGAGAAAGGCCGCAGGGGAGGCGGGGAGGUGAGGGUUUGAGAAUCCCGAGAAGAAGAGGAGAAACGAAUGAGGAGAGGAAGGAGAACGCAGUCGUAGACGUCGAUUCUGUCUUCCCACGGCUUGUGGCUCCUCCGACUCUUCUCGGUCCCUCAAGCUCUCGGGUUGGUUUCGAGAGGUUUGAGGGCGGGAAGUCGCCGACUUGAAUCUUCAAAUGCC
Molecule: long non-coding RNA, 1264 nt
Filed under: Musa acuminata (dwarf banana)
Lineage: Eukaryota; Viridiplantae; Streptophyta; Magnoliopsida; Zingiberales; Musaceae
Description: long non-coding RNA (MACU_LNC010982)
Source: RNAcentral